Molecule: unclassified non-coding RNA, 217 nt
Filed under: rhizosphere metagenome
Description: partial ribosomal RNA internal transcribed spacer region
Source: RNAcentral
GUAGGUGAACCUGCGGAAGGAUCAUUAACUAUACGAAGGGAGGGUUGGGCUUCGGCCUGCCCCUCUCUGACUAUUCUACCCGUGUCUUUUUGCGUACCAUUUGUUUCCUUGGUGGGCUUGCCUGCCGAUAGGACACUAUAAAAACCUUUUGUAAUUGCAGUCAGCGUCAGUAAAAACUUAAUAGUUACAACUUUCAACAACGGAUCUCUUGGUUCUG